UGCUAGCGAACAGUCGUGUCUGGUGUAUCGUGUUGGCUGGGCCGGUCGUGUGCAGCGAUGGCGGAGCCUGAGCGUUGUAGGAUAAGGGACAUGAUGGGGAGGCUGCAACAACCACCUUCAGUAGCUCUCCGAAACCAACAUCUUUGUCAUGGGUCACUGAAUCAGCUGAGACUCUGCACUAUGUUUGACACUGGAGCUGUUGACCAUCUUACCAGCCCAGAGAGUAGUAAUGAGAGCCACUGCUGAAGAGCAUCUGGUCAUCAGAAGUCAUUCUGUUGAAGUGGCCAGAUGAGAACGAGACAGCUUCUCAUCCUUCAAGAAACAGUUAAAAACCAAUUCCAAGCAGCAACUUCAAGACUCUUA
Schistocerca gregaria is the source of this 363-nucleotide long non-coding RNA. RefSeq lists it as uncharacterized. Lineage: Eukaryota; Metazoa; Arthropoda; Insecta; Orthoptera; Acrididae. The record is from RefSeq and is a predicted model, not a curated record. The transcript is spliced from 4 exons.